AUCCUUUUCCAGUUCAUAAGCAUGAUGAUUGGGUGUUCACAUGUUUGUGUGACAUGUACCUUCCUUAAAUCUCGUUAUGCAUUUGGCACAUUACCCAUCUGAUA
This is a small nucleolar RNA of Sorex araneus (European shrew), 104 nucleotides long. RefSeq annotates it as small nucleolar RNA U13. The record is from RefSeq and is a predicted model, not a curated record. The transcript has a single exon. Lineage: Eukaryota; Metazoa; Chordata; Mammalia; Eulipotyphla; Soricidae.